UGGGGAAUCUUGCACAACGGGGGCAACCCUGAUGCAGCGACGCCGCGUGAGCGAUGAAGCCCUUCGGGGCGUAAAGCUCUUUCGACCGGAACGAUAAUGACGGUACCGGGAGAAGAAGCUGCGGCUAACUACGUGCCAGCAGCCGCGGUAAUACGUAGGCAGCAAGCGUUGUUCGGAGUUACUGGGCGUAAAGAGUGCGUAGGCGGUUUUCUAAGUUCGGUGUGAAAUCUCCCGGCUUAACUGGGAGGGUGCGCCGAAGACUGGGAAGCUGGAGUGUGGGAAAGGCAGGCGGAAUUCCUGGUGUAGCGGUGAAAUGCGUAGAUAUCAGGAGGAACACCGGCGGUGUAGACGGCUUGCUAGACCAUAACUGACGCUGAGGCACGAAAGCGUGGGUAGCAAACA
Molecule: ribosomal RNA, 402 nt
Filed under: uncultured bacterium
Lineage: Bacteria
Description: bacterial SSU rRNA
Rfam family: Bacterial small subunit ribosomal RNA
Source: RNAcentral